RNAcentral lists this ribosomal RNA (734 nucleotides) under uncultured bacterium. Its description in RNAcentral is "bacterial SSU rRNA". It matches the Rfam family "Bacterial small subunit ribosomal RNA", at positions 60 to 805 of the family's 1533-position model. The record is from RNAcentral.
AGUCGAACGGAGCCAAGAGGAGCUUGCUUUUCUUGACUUAGUGGCGAACGGGUGAGUAACGCGUGAGUAACCUGCCCUGGAGUGGGGGACAACAGUUGGAAACGACUGCUAAUACCGCAUAAGCCCACGAUCCGGCAUCGGAUUGAGGGAAAAGGAUUUAUUCGCUUCAGGAUGGACUCGCGUCCAAUUAGCUAGUUGGUGAGGUAACGGCCCACCAAGGCGACGAUUGGUAGCCGGACUGAGAGGUUGGACGGCCACAUUGGGACUGAGACACGGCCCAGACUCCUACGGGAGGCAGCAGUGGGGGAUAUUGCACAAUGGGGGAAACCCUGAUGCAGCGACGCCGCGUGGAGGAAGAAGGUUUUCGGAUUGUAAACUCCUGUCGUUAGGGACGAUAAUGACGGUACCUAACAAGAAAGCACCGGCUAACUACGUGCCAGCAGCCGCGGUAAAACGUAGGGUGCAAGCGUUGUCCGGAAUUACUGGGUGUAAAGGGAGCGCAGGCGGACCGGCAAGUUGGAAGUGAAAACUAUGGGCUCAACCCAUAAAUUGCUUUCAAAACUGCUGGCCUUGAGUAGUGCAGAGGUAGGUGGAAUUCCCGGUGUAGCGGUGGAAUGCGUAGAUAUCGGGAGGAACACCAGUGGCGAAGGCGACCUACUGGGCACCAACUGACGCUGAGGCUCGAAAGCAUGGGUAGCAAACAGGAUUAGAUACCCUGGUAGUCCAUGCCGUAA